GAAAAUAUUUGCCACCUGCUCCACAGUUAUGACAUUAAUAUCCAAAUAUACAAAGAACACCAUAAAACAAAACAAAAUUAGAUAAAACAACCAAAUAACCUGAAAAAUAAAUGGCCAAAAGAACUAAACAGACACUUCACAAAAGAAGACUUACAAAUGACCAAUAAAAACAUGAAAAAUUAUCCAAUGUGUCUAGCCAUCAGAAAUGCAAAUCAAAACUACAUUGAGACUUCAUUUCACUUCAAUCAGAAUAACAAUUAUCAAGAAUACAAAUAAUAAUAAAUUUUGUUGAAGAUGUGGGGGAAAAAAGGUAUAUUCUCACAUUAUUGGUGGGAGAGCAAAUUAGUACAAGCACUCUGGAAAGUGGUAUAGAGAUUCCCCCUAAAACGAGGAAUAGAACCACCUUCUGACCCAGCUAUCCCAUUUCUUGAUAUUUAGCCAAAAGAACUAAAAUCUGCAUACUCUAAAGAUGCAGCCACAUCAAUGUUUAUAGCAGUAGAAUUCACAGUAUCUAAGCUAUGGAACCAGUGUAGGUAUCCAUCAAUACACGAAUAAAUGAAGAAAAUGUGGUAUAUAUACACAAUGGAGUUUUACUUAGCUGUAAAGAAGAAUGAAAUUAUGGUGUUUGCCAGUAAAUGGAUGGAACUGGAGUUCAGUUCCAUUCAUUUAAGUGAAACAAGCUAAACCCAGAAAAUCAAGGGUCAACUGUUUUCUCUCAUAUGUGUAAGCCAGCUCAAAAUCAGAAAGGAAAAAAGAAAAAGAAAAAAAAAUGUGUGUGAUGUGUAUGUGGGGGAAAUCCCAUGGAAAUAGAAGAGAGAUCAGUUCAUUAGAGGAAAGGGAUUGAGGGGAGAGGAAGAAGAAACAGGAAAAGAGAAGAAUGGAAGAAUUAAUCUGAUCAAACAUUCCUAUGUACAUAUAUGAAUAUACCACAGUCAAUUUCAACUUCAUGUCUAUACAUAUGCACUAAUAAAAAAAUUACAAAUAGAAGAAAGAUCAGUAGAGCAGAGGAAGGGAACUGAGGGAUGGAGAAAGGAGAAGCACUGGGGAUUGAAGUGCAGCAAAUAAUUUACAUGCUUCUAUAAAUAUGUCAAAAUGAAUCUCAAUUUCAUGUAUAUGUAUAAUUAAUUAAUAAAAAAGCAGUAUUAUUCAAGAGACACUUUUACACACUGUUAAAGACUUUGCAUAAUUUAAUGGACCUUUCCUAUCUCAUUUCUUUUGCAAUGCGACUCACAUUCAAUUUUUUUCAUUUCAAAUCAAAAUUUGAAUUUUAUACAUAACCCCCAAAAUACAGAGGGAAGUUUCCCUCAGAUCUAUACAAUAUGUUAGUUCCUGGGUAUUUUCAUAAAUGGUAUUAGAUAGUAUUAUGACACCUAGGAAUUCUAUGUAGGGAGCAUGAGGGAAGAUAUUGAAAUUGUAGAGGCAUAGCAUUAACCCUCAACCUCUGAUUUUUUUAUAAUGUUAGUAGAGUGAAAGUAUAAUUCAUUUAAAUAUGAUUUGUACUACAAUAUGGAGAUAAGGACAUACAGAAAACACUGUAAGAAAAUGUCAUGUGCCAGGCAAGCCAGGUUAGAGGGAGGGACAUUCUUCCCUGAAUGAGGAGAUGUGAGUCAGGAUGGCACUGAAAGAAAGGGAUAUUUCAUAUACCUGAACUACAAUGGCCUUGGCAUUGUCACCAACCUCACACCAGGCCCAUUCACUCAUGCACAUUUGAAAGCUGAAUGUGAUUACUGUUAAUAAUAUCUGUAGCCAGCAGUGUGCUAGGUAUGAAGGAGGCACAGAUAAAAGGCAGUUCACAAUGUCAUCAGGAGAUGGUAAGCAAACAUUGAUAUCACAGUAAGAAAAAAAAGAGAGCACAGUUUGCCUCUUAUAACCCAAAUAAAAGCAAGGCAAAAGCCAGUGAGUCUACAGUGAAUUUUUUUUUUCAUCUUGUUUACAUUUUAUUUCUCAGUUCAUUCAUCAUUGCCUGAUUUUCCCCUCCCCAAUCUGUCUUCUUUAUCCAGAAAAAACAAACAAACAACAACAACAAAAACAGUGUAAGUGUCAAUUGUACUGAUUUCCAGUUCAUUUUGCUUCCACAACACUAGAUAAUGGGUCCCUAGAAAUUUCCUUUUAAAGUGUUUUAGUCUUAUAAGUGUAUUAUAGCAAAAUACACCAAGUGAAGAAAUUAAAGCAAUUUUCAAGUCAUCUAGCUUUCCUUUUUACUUACCUUCACUCCAGACUUUCAUGAUUUAUGUCAAAUCCACGUCCAGAGGCUGUGAACAAAAAUGACAAGUUAGUAAAUGCAGUGAAAAUGUGCAAGGUUAUUUUAUAAAGCAAUGAAUUGUCUCACCCCAGAAGUAACUAAGCAUUUGGACCACAGGAUAAUGUGGCAAAUGGACUGCAAGCUUAAAGCAAGGAUGGAGAGUUCUUUUCCACUUGUGCAUCUGGCACUAGUCUGAGGGAAUCAACUCUCCAUCAUUGUGUGGGUUGUUCUACCUGUUUCUCAGGAAAAGGUAAGUAAGGAAGGAAAAAUGUUAGAGUCAUGUUGUGCACAUCUCUGGUCUCCAUCACUUAAUAGUGUACUAUGAAUAAGAGCAUCAGGAAGCAAGUGAGCAGGGGGAGCAAUAAGUCUGCUUGAAAUCAACCUUUCACUUAAUCAGAAAGAUUUGGAUGGGAUGAGAAGCAAAUCAGACCUUCCUGCAAAGAGUAGCCUCAUUCUUCAGGUUCCUCAGUUGCUAACUCUGUUGGAGAGCGUUUGGGGAAUUUUAAGAAUUGUAGGACUGAAUAAGGAAGAGGAAUAUUGAUAAUCUAAGCAAUUAAUGAUAAUCAGGGAUACAUAAUGACAAUAAUGUUUAUACCUCCAGUUCUUCCUGCAAAUAUUUGGGGAUUGAAGAAGUACCCAUAACUGACAUAAUUUCAAUGUUCAGAAAAAAAAAUAUUUAUAAAACACAAUUGACAAUUUUUUACUGAAAUGUUACCACAUGAAUAUAUUGGCUAUCAAAACAAAUAUUAUGUUAAUGAAAAUCAAGCUCUCUUCCAUACUAAUAUUAUAUAAUUAUAUAAUAAAUGUCUUUAUAGGAUAUUAUAGGUCUAUAGAUAGAUAUGUAGACAGAUAAAGACAUAUAGUUUUAAAAUUUAAUUAUUUAAAAUGCAAAAUUUGGAUUUCACCUACGUAGUAUUCUGUACCAUGAAUAUAUUAAAAUGUACUUAACCAUUUUCCCAAUUGGUAUAAAGUUGGAUCCUUUUCUUCCCCUCUCCUUUUUGAGGUGAUAGAAAUCAAAAUCAGGGCCUUGCAUGUGCUUGGUAUAUGUUCUGCCUCUAAGCUACACAUCCCAGCCCUCAUUGAAUGUGGGAAGCCUUUCUCACACGUGAUUGGGAACCUCCCUGAUUGGGUGUGAGGCGUUCCGGCCAGCUGUGUCAGAAUUUAUCCCCACUCUCUUUAGGUGCGAGAGCCCAUCCUUGUGGGGGUGUGACUGACCAUUGACCCUGAGACUAAUCACUGACCCUGAUCUUGGAAUGCUGUCCCCCUCGACCUUCAUUGGAUGGAAUUUUCCUCCUGAAUUUCUUGUUCCCCAAUAAAAGCCCACUCUCUGGAGUGUUCUUCCUCUCUCCUGCUAGUCUCUUGUAUAAACUUCGCUAACCCACCAGGUGGCUCGAGGCAGGAGCCAGGAAGGACCAUCUCUGAACUGGGCAAGAAAAAAGUAAGUUGAGUUUAUGUGUCUUUAUUUUGAUCUCACUAGUUAACUUCUAUACUUAGGACCCCGGGGCAGAAUUGGACACUUUUUGUCUUCUUCUUUUUAAACAAUUAUAAUGUCUCUCUAUUUCUCUAUUUUUUUUUUAAUCUUUAUUGUUCUCUGAAUGGGAUAACCUUACGUAACAUUCUCUAGAUGGCGAUUUGUCCUUAGAGUCCAGUGAUGGAGCAAACCUAGCAAUUUCUUUAGAAGUUUAGUUUUGGAGAGCAGAGCAUGUGACUGCAUUGUUUGAAAAAGGGAUGAACAUCAGCUCUGCCUUAAACCUUUGCUCUGAUACAGAAGCUCUGUGUAACAGUUGCAUGUUAUACAGUGGGGUAAAUAUUGGUCAUAUUCUUCUCAUG
Molecule: long non-coding RNA, 4072 nt
Filed under: Marmota monax (woodchuck)
Lineage: Eukaryota; Metazoa; Chordata; Mammalia; Rodentia; Sciuridae
Source: RNAcentral